Molecule: ribosomal RNA, 498 nt
Filed under: uncultured bacterium
Lineage: Bacteria
Description: bacterial SSU rRNA
Rfam family: Bacterial small subunit ribosomal RNA
Source: RNAcentral
UGGGGAAUCUUGGACAAUGGGGGCAACCCUGAUCCAGCCAUGCCGCGUGGACGAUGAAGGCCUUAGGGUUGUAAAGUCCUUUCACCGGUGAAGAUAAUGACGGUAGCCGGAGAAGAAGCCCCGGCUAACUCCGUGCCAGCAGCCGCGGUAAUACGGAGGGGGCUAGCGUUGUUCGGAAUUACUGGGCGUAAAGCGCACGUAGGCGGACCAGAAAGUUGGGGGUGAAAUCCCGGGGGCUCAACCCCGGAACUGCCUCCAAAACUAUUGGUCUAGAGUUCGAGAGAGGUGAGUGGAAUUCCAAGUGUAGAGGUGAAAUUCGUAGAUAUUUGGAGGAACACCAGUGGCGAAGGCGGCUCACUGGCUCGAUACUGACGCUGAGGUGCGAAAGUGUGGGGAGCAAACAGGAUUAGAUACCCUGGUAGUCCAGCGCCGUAAAACGAUGUCUGCUAGUCGUUGGGGAGCAUAGCUCUUCGGUGACGCAGCUAACGCAUUAAGCAG